ACUGGGGUAAUGUUUUUCUUGCUUCUUUUUUUUUUUUCAUAAAAAUGCUAUUACUUAUGAUUUUUAAAUGGUAUAUGAACCUGAAUGUCUCACGAGAAGAUUUGAAUUAAUUUGUCGGUGGGUUUCAUGAGUUUCUGUGUUCAGUGAAUAUUGGGAAGGGUUUUCACUUAAUGAAUAUUACCCAAUUAGUGGAGUAUUCUUUGCUAAUUUUGAAAAGAUGAUGCUAAGCUAACUUGUGACUAGUGCUGAUAAAUCGUGCAUGUACUAGUUAUCAACUCAUUGUUUUGUUGCAUUGUAUUCUGGACACAACAUAUUUAGCUUUCAUAGUUUGAAAAAAUAUCUGAGUGGGACUGAUCGCAUAGGGCAUCUUAUCAUGCAGAUUGUCUCUCAAAUAUAAUUACUUAUUAGAGCUAUCCAGUUAUUCCUAAUGCUGUAUGAGAUUUACUGGAUGGAUGGUCCACAUAUUUAAUUCAUUUUCUCAAAAAUUUUUCAUAUGUGCAAUGAUUUUGUUAUUUGUAGUGUUCAUUAUUGGGGACUCUUACAAGAUGGAAUUUGGGAAUUGGUUGUGCAGAGUUCACGUUCUGUGACAAAAUU
This 594-nucleotide unclassified non-coding RNA is filed under the name Hevea brasiliensis (rubber tree). Lineage: Eukaryota; Viridiplantae; Streptophyta; Magnoliopsida; Malpighiales; Euphorbiaceae. The record is from RNAcentral.